Long non-coding RNA from Eucalyptus grandis, 653 nucleotides. RefSeq lists it as uncharacterized. The transcript is spliced from 3 exons. The record is from RefSeq and is a predicted model, not a curated record. Lineage: Eukaryota; Viridiplantae; Streptophyta; Magnoliopsida; Myrtales; Myrtaceae.
GCUUCUUCUAUCUUUUUUUGCUUUAUGUACUCCAAGGCUUCAAGCACAGCUAGGGUUUCAAUGUGAAGGCUCAACACCGCCCGAACCUGCUUUGCGAAGCCAUCCAUGAGGCUACUGGAGAAAUAUCGAACUACACCAGCCACAGCUCCUUCCAUUGACCCCUCACGGAUGGAUCCGUCCACGUUUAUCUUCAAAGAACCAGCUACCGGAGCUGUCUAGAUCUACCACUUUACAGGCAUCCGGCUUGGUUCCCCGAAAUAUGUAGUUGUUGCGCUCCUUCCACACCUACCAUAGGAUAUUUGAAAUCAUUUCCAGAGAAGGUUGAUUUCCGGGUGGCUCCAUACCCAUGCGGUCCAGGGACAAAGAAGAUGGAGGUGCUUGACUGUUUCCAUACUCUCUCGGUAAAGAUCACAGAUUGGAUCAGGUAAAAUCUUUCGUUUCCAUAGAUUCUCCUUGGAUGGGACGGCAUUUUGACAAACAUUCAAAAUGAAAAAUCCUGACUUUAGGACUAGUUUGCAUCUUCCAUAUAGCAUUCCGUAGCUUUCUUGGUGUUUGAUGGGAUGAAGAUGGGUUUUCCUUUGCAUAGGAUGCUGUUUCUCGUUCUCUUAAUGUAUUAUAACCACUUUUGACUGUAAAUGCCCUGUCCUUAGAUC